RNAcentral lists this ribosomal RNA (404 nucleotides) under uncultured prokaryote. Its description in RNAcentral is "bacterial SSU rRNA". It matches the Rfam family "Bacterial small subunit ribosomal RNA", at positions 355 to 776 of the family's 1533-position model. The record is from RNAcentral. RNAcentral also lists the same sequence under 1 other name.
UGGGGAAUAUUGGACAAUGGGGGAAACCCUGAUCCAGCAAUGCCGCGUGUGUGAAGAAGGUCUUCGGAUUGUAAAGCACUUUUGGCAGGGACGAUGAUGACGGUACCUGCAGAAUAAGCCCCGGCUAACUUCGUGCCAGCAGCCGCGGUAAUACGAAGGGGGCUAGCGUUGCUCGGAAUGACUGGGCGUAAAGGGCGCGUAGGCGGCAUGUACAGUCAGAAGUGAAAUUCCUGGGCUCAACCUGGGGACUGCUUUUGAUACGUGCGAGCUAGAGUGAGGAAGAGGGUUGUGGAAUUUCCAGUGUAGAGGUGAAAUUCGUAGAUAUUGGAAAGAACACCGGUGGCGAAGGCGGCAACCUGGUCCUUAACUGACGCUGAGGCGCGAAAGCGUGGGGAGCAAACAGG